RNAcentral lists this ribosomal RNA (484 nucleotides) under uncultured Flavobacteriaceae bacterium. RNAcentral's name for it is "bacterial SSU rRNA". It matches the Rfam family "Bacterial small subunit ribosomal RNA", at positions 28 to 505 of the family's 1533-position model. Lineage: Bacteria; Pseudomonadati; Bacteroidota; Flavobacteriia; Flavobacteriales; Flavobacteriaceae. The record is from RNAcentral.
GAUGAACGCUAGCGGCAGGCCUAACACAUGCAAGUCGAGGGGCAGCAUUGGUACUUGUACCAGAUGGCGACCGGCGCACGGGUGCGCACCGCGUAUGGAACCUGCCUCUUGCAGGGGAAUAGCCUUUGGAAACGAAGAUUAAUGCCCCGUAGAACCCUUUUUGAGCAUUUUUAAAGGGUUAAAGGCUUCGGCCGGCAAGAGAUGGCCAUGCGUCCCAUUAGCUCGAUGGUAGGGUAACGGCCUACCAUGGCCACGAUGGGUAGGGGCCCUGAGAGGGGGAUCCCCCACACUGGUACUGAGACACGGACCAGACUCCUACGGGAGGCAGCAGUGAGGAAUAUUGGACAAUGGAGGGGACUCUGAUCCAGCCAUGCCGCGUGCAGGAAGAAUGCCCUAUGGGUAGUAAACUGCUUUUAUACGGGAAGAAAAAGGGCCACGUGUGGCCUGUUGACGGUACCGUAAGAAUAAGGACCGGCUAACUCCG